GCCGCGAUCGCUUAGUUGGUUAAAGCAAGGGUCUCAUAAUUCUCGCAUCUCAAAGAGAAAAGACGUGUGAGCCUUGAUGAAGGUGUAAUCCCUAGCCCAGAGUUCGAGUCUCUGUCAUGGCA
Molecule: transfer RNA, 122 nt
Filed under: Kwoniella bestiolae CBS 10118
Lineage: Eukaryota; Fungi; Basidiomycota; Tremellomycetes; Tremellales; Cryptococcaceae
Description: tRNA-Met
Rfam family: tRNA
About the family: Transfer RNA (tRNA) molecules are approximately 80 nucleotides in length. Their secondary structure includes four short double-helical elements and three loops (D, anti-codon, and T loops).
Source: RNAcentral